RNAcentral lists this long non-coding RNA (321 nucleotides) under Medicago truncatula (barrel medic). RNAcentral describes it as "long non-coding RNA (MTRU_LNC003312)". The record is from RNAcentral. Lineage: Eukaryota; Viridiplantae; Streptophyta; Magnoliopsida; Fabales; Fabaceae.
AAAGCCAGAACAUGAAAUUGGUCCUCAUCCAAAGUUGGUUAACCAAGAGAAUCCACCAAAGUAUAAGACCAAGAAAUUUGAGGAUUAUCUUUAUUGUAAGCUUAAUAAGAUCCCUCAGUAAAGGAAGAAAAAUGCUCUACACUAUGAAUAUAUUGUUACUUAUGGGGGUUAAUUUUAUCAAAUGAUGGUGUCAUGUGGCAUGUAUGAAUUAAAUAAAAUAUGUAGCUAAAGUUGGAUGCUGCUAAUUGUGCUAUGUUAUAAUUAUAAAUUUUCACUAGUUUUAUUUUUUUAUUUUAUAGGAGAAAUCAUCUUAUGUUAUUC